RNAcentral lists this ribosomal RNA (277 nucleotides) under uncultured bacterium. RNAcentral describes it as "partial 16S ribosomal RNA". It matches the Rfam family "Bacterial small subunit ribosomal RNA", at positions 28 to 334 of the family's 1533-position model. The record is from RNAcentral.
GUUGAAUGCUAGCGGUGCGCCUAAUACAUGCAAGUCGAGCGAGGUUUCGAACCGAGCGGCGGACGGCUGAGUAACACGUUGGUACCUGCCCUAUACUCAGGGAUAACUAUUGGAAACGAUAGCUAAUACCGGAUAGUCCCGCAAGGGUAAAGAUUUAUCGGUAUAGGAGGGGCCUGCGGCUUAUCAGGUAGUUGGUAGUGUAAUGGACUACCAAGCCUAUGACGAGUAGCUGGUGUGAGAGCAUGACCAGCCAGAAUGGAACUGAGACACGGUCCAU